CCCCGGCGUGGCCGACGGCGGCGGCGUACCCGCGGCUGGCCUCGAAGGGCAGCUCGGCGACCGGCGUCCAGUCGUCGGCCGGGGCC
RNAcentral lists this transfer RNA (86 nucleotides) under Streptomyces longispororuber. RNAcentral's name for it is "tRNA-Pro". Lineage: Bacteria; Bacillati; Actinomycetota; Actinomycetes; Kitasatosporales; Streptomycetaceae. The record is from RNAcentral.